This is a long non-coding RNA of Oenanthe melanoleuca, 2195 nucleotides long. RefSeq lists it as uncharacterized. The record is from RefSeq and is a predicted model, not a curated record. The transcript is spliced from 2 exons. Lineage: Eukaryota; Metazoa; Chordata; Aves; Passeriformes; Muscicapidae.
GCCCCGCCUCCUGCCUGAGGGGGUGGGCGGGAAGCGGGGUCCUGGGUAUCCCCUCAGCGGGAGUUGGACCUGGGUUUCCCGCCCCGCACGGUGUCUUGGAGCCCCUCUGCAGGCUGAGAGCCCCCAGCUGACACGGGAGCUGAGCGGGUGGCAGGGGCCUGCGGUUGGGGUGUCCCUGCCUGGGCAGAGGUGGUGGCAGAAUCAUCUCUGACAUGAGACAUGGAGCUCGUGGGAGUGGGUACCGCGGAGGGCAGGGAGGAUGACUGGGGAAUUGGAGCAUCUCUGCUAUGAGGAAAGGCUGAGGAAGAUGGGCCUCGAGAAGAGAUAAUUGAGAGGAGACCUCAUUAAUGUGUAUAAGUACCUAAAGUGGAGUGCCAAGAGGAUGAAGCCAGGCUCAGCUCAGUGGUGCCAGCCACAAGGACAGCAGGCAAUAGGCAGGAAGCGGUGCCCAGAAAGUUCUACCUGAACAUAAGGAAGAACUUCUUUCCUGUGCAGUGAUUGCUCACUGGUCCAGAGAGGCUGUGGAGUCUCCCUCAUUGGAGAUACUCCAGAAUCAUCUGGACAUAAUCCUGUGCCAUGCACUCUGGGAUGACCCUGCUUGAGCAGGAAGAUGGGACCAGAUGAGCCACUGUGAUCCUUUCAACCUGACCCAUUCUGGGUUUGGUGACAGAUGUCAUCUCUGCAUCCUCCUGACAGCCAGGGAGGCUUACCCUGGCUUGUCCCAGUGCCCAAGCAGCUCCUGGUGACAUCCCUCUCAUCAGCGUGUCCCAUGGGCUGCAGGCACACGGUUCCUCAGGCCACUCAGCGGUGUGGCCAUCCUGUCCCCUCAGGACACCACAGAGUGGCUGUGGGUCAGCCAGCAGUGCCUGGGCUGGCUGGGAGCAGGAGGGAGGCCUGGUACCACAGAGCCCUGGGGAGCAGCACAAGGCACGGCCUGGAGCUGGAACCUCACCCUCCGCAUGUGAGAUGUGGCAACCAGUUGGGCACAUCCCUUCAUCAAAAUGGCUCCCUGUUAUUAUGUGCUGCUGCUGUGUCCUGCACUGUGGCUGGGAUCCCUGGUUAGGCUGGAUUCCGUCGUUUAAGGGCAAGCAGAACAAAAUGUCUCUCCUUGUCCUGAAGGAGCCUGCAAUCAUCAACAUGAUUUGCCUAGAUUUCAAAUUGAGGCAUUUGCCCAAGAGCCUCUGUGGCUGAGAAGUUGAGGCUCAUAUGGGAGGAACUGUUCCCAAGGCUGAUAUGCAAAGCUUGGAUGAAAGCCUUGGAGUCCUUGGUCUCUGCCAGGCUUUGAUGCCCAGACUCCUUGCCUGUAAUCUGCCAUCUAUGCAGACAGUAUCAGAGCUAUCAAAUAAUUCCACCACAAUGUGAGCCUUGAAAAAAAAAAAAUUAAGAGUCUGCUAGGAAAAGUACACAGAAAUGUCCUUGGGUAAAAGUGAAAAAUUGGAUCAAGCCAAAUACAUAGUUACAAUUUUUGCUUACCAGGUCAAGCUUACACAGACUUUGGACUGGGAAAACAUUUUGUAUUGGUACAGUGAAGCUAUCACAGGACAUACCAGGAGUUGCCAGGAAACAGCAGGUUUACAGGCUGCUGUUACAGGUGAGGCUUGAAUCCUUCCAUCAAUUCUUCUCUGAUGUUUUCAAGGCUUUGAGGCAUUGCUGGAGAUGGGCUGGUAUUUUUUGAAUUGUGUUUGCAGGUUAUUGGGAAAGAGCUGAGCCUUCUAAAUAUUUGGUAUUUACCAAGCUAUGAUGCUGAAAUACCAGAGGCAUCUGAAGAAUCCAGCCCAGUUCUCACCCCUCUCAUGCCCCAGCACAGGGCUGACAGACAUGUGGAUGCUCUGCUUCCAUCCCUAGGCUCUCAGCCCUGAAAAGAUUCACCAGUGAAGGGUGCAAAGAGAGGAUCCCACAAGGUCUGGAGGACGAGGUGGUUCCUUGGACGGUGCAGUGCCACAGCUCGGGAUCCCGGUGCGCAGUGCCAUCUCCUGGAAAGCCGGGCUGCAGCUGCACUCAGGAGCGCUGCUCCUGGUAGCUUGGUGCUGUCUCCAUAGACACAAACAUUUUCUUUUCACCACUGAGAGUCCCCCACCAAACUGCUCUUUCCCCAGCAAGCAGGAAGAUGCUCCUCACCCCCAUGUCCGAGGCACCCUGUGGCAGAACAUCUCUGCAUGGCUCCUUCCCAGUCUGGAUGUUGAAUAUAAAUCUCU